GCAACUGAAGGUUUGUACAGAUGAAAGGCAGCCACGGCGCUUUGGAGGUGGCCAAGACGGUCAUGGAGGUCGCCGACGUGGCCUGGUCGGCGAUUGAGUGUUGCAAUCACCAUAAACACAGCAAAGAUGCCACCGAACGCACUGCUACAGAGGAAGAAGAACUCGAUGCUCUGCGAUCGGAGAAUCGGAGAUUGAGGAAUUUGCUUGAACAAAAUCUCGACCUCCUUCAGAAGCUAUCCGAGUCUCACUGUUUGCUCAAGGAUUGCCCUCCCGAUCUGUACGCUCGUCUCGUUGCGACAGUGGAUUCUAAAAAAUUCUUAAAUGAAAUUAAAUCCCUCAACGAAGCGUCAAAAGAUGGAAUUAGCUAUGAAUUUCCUUUCAGGGAAGCAACAGGAGCUGAUUCGCACACAGCUGACAUACUUGUGAACGUUAGCCGUGAAACGCCCAGUUGGUGGAUAUGGGUUACUGAAGAUAUGGUUCCGAGCAAAGUUGAGGAAUGGAGUGGAAUUGAUGAUGAAAGUUAUGUGAUUGUAUCUGAAGAACAAGUGGUGGAUGCAGUUGCCCACUUUAUGGCUAGAUGUAUUAUGUCAAACCCAAAAACCCGGAAUGUAUCACCUGAGGAACUGCAGAAAACAAUAGCAAAAGCGCUGAAUGGUAUGGGCAGCAAAGUGGAGAAGAUGUUUGAAAUUUGGCAUGCUGGGCUGCUUUUCUAUUCCUUAGCCACUUGGGGACUUGCACUGGCUGGCUUGUACAAGGGUCGGGCUAUAUUGAAAUUGGCUGCCACUGGCGUUCACCAUACAAGCAAAGCCGUGAUGAAGGUGCUCUGAAGAAGCUAUUGAUAUCAAUUCAUCAAAUGUAUGAUAUUGUUUGGGUUCAUUUUUCUUUCUAUCAAGUGAUGUAAAUAACUUUUUAACACUUCUUAUGGCAUUGUUUAUUUUAUUUUAUUUUAUCUUU
Molecule: unclassified non-coding RNA, 954 nt
Filed under: Hevea brasiliensis (rubber tree)
Lineage: Eukaryota; Viridiplantae; Streptophyta; Magnoliopsida; Malpighiales; Euphorbiaceae
Source: RNAcentral